UGCUCUAUUACGAAAUGCCAAAUGCAACUCUUGGGCGCCAAUCACCUCCAAAAACGCAUCGGCAACAAUCACCUCAAAAAACCCUAGGAGGUGAAAAACACCAUCGGGAAGGUCUCAUACAAACCCUAAAAGUCAGGUUCGCUUGCCAUCUGUUUUAUCUCCAUAGAGCUUUUUAUUGGGUAGAUUAUUUGAUCAGCGUGACUACUUAAGAGAGAACUAAUGUUAUGCUAAUCCACUGUUAUGCUAAUAGAUAGUAAAACUAGGUAGAGAAAUAUGAUCUUGAAAGAGGCUACAUGAAAUCUGAUCUGCUCUUUAAUUUGCUAGGUUUCAUCUGCUAGGGUUUUUGGGAGCUGCGAGCUGAGAGAGGAGAGGGCAACAUGCGACUAAGAGGGUUUAAUUUGCUAGGUUUCAUCUGCUAGGGUUUUUGGGAGCUGCGAGCUGAGAGAGGAGAGGGCAACAUGCAACCAAGAGGGUUUGUGGGGAGCUGUAACAUGAGAGAGGAGAGGCCAAAAUGCGAAUGGGAGGAGUGUUGGGGAGUUGGAGCUCAAUGAGGAGAGCAGAGCAUUGUUGUUGUUGUUGUUAUUAUUAUUAAUGUGAUAUCUUGGAAUGUUGUAGCAAUAAAACUCGAGAUAUCAUAUUGUAACACAUUAUGGUCCUAACCACCUAUGUUGUGUACAUAUUUCUUAGUGGAGCUCGGGUUCAUCACAAAAGGCAAUCGUGUACUCUCAUGCAUUGUGGUUAAUUUAGAAAGCCAAUUGUAUGCAAG
Molecule: long non-coding RNA, 766 nt
Filed under: Amborella trichopoda
Lineage: Eukaryota; Viridiplantae; Streptophyta; Magnoliopsida; Amborellales; Amborellaceae
Description: long non-coding RNA (ATRI_LNC002959)
Source: RNAcentral